GUCUUUCUGGUACUGAUUUUUUGAGACCAAGGAUAAAAGGAUCGUUUUGUAAGACACGCCAUAGCAAUGGCUGGUUGGGGGACAGUUUCUGCCCAAGCUUGGCCUAUUUUAUUUUUCCUUAUACCUACUUUCAAAGUCAUUUAGGUAUUUGAAGCCUUAUUUCCCACGUAGUAACACUUUCUGGCUUUUGCAGUUUCUUUUUUUGUUUGGUUUUGUUUUUUGCAUGGACUGGGAAUCAAACAACCCGAAGAAGAACACAUUUUGAUCAAGCAAAAUAUUUGCUUCAAACAUCAGAAGUUUAUUUUACAGAAAUUAAAUUAAGUAGUUUGACAUCCUUUUCUCUGUUUCACACAUAUAUUAGGUUGGUGCAUAAGUAAUUGUGGUUUUUGCCAUGACUUUUAUGGCAAAACCUGCAAUUACUUUUGCACCAACCUAAUACAUCUAUAUACAUAUAUAUAUGCGUACACACUUGUUCAGAAGUUAUGUUGUGGCCUUGGAUUUGUUUUUCCGUUUGGAAAUGGUUCUUAACUCUGGGAUUUUAGAAGGUUAGAAUAUUUUUUCAAGAGAACGGUGGUACUCAAAAGAAUGAAAGGUGGUCCCUACAUUUUCUGUAUUCAUCACUUAAAAUUUUUAAUUUUUCUGAGAACUACAAGUAACAUUUGAACCAUGCUGCUGUUGUACCUUAAACAAAAACUCAGUGAUAACCAGUAUUUAGUCUAUUAAAAAUGCUCUUUUUGAAGAAAAAAGUUUGGAAGUCUCUGAUUAGCCAGAGUAUAGUAUGAGUCUUCACUGAGAAAUAUGGUGACCCAUUUUCUUUGUGAAAACCUGGGAAAAUGCAAGUGUGGGUAUGAAGUGUGUGUUCUGUUUGCAUUGAAACAAUGUAAUUUUGUGUCUUCUUUUUGCUUUAACUGACUUAUUUCAGAAAUUGUACAGUGUUGAGGGGGAAAGUCUUUUCUGUUAAUAUAUUUGCAAUUCAUUAAAGGAUAUGGAAAAUCCAAAUAAGUUACUUUUGAAAACAGUUUAUAAUCAAGUUGUUAAAGCUAUAUGAAAGCUGUGCCAUCUGUAUUUUAAUAAGAAGGCACAGAAAAACAGAGAUACAGUUUUAUGUUUCACAAAAAACUAGAGCAAUGUUUAUCUAAUUUUUUAAAACUUACACUCUCUUUUAAUAUAUUUAUAUUUUUAAACGGUCAUACUCUUUUUUAGUAUUAUUUGGAAUAUCAAAAUAAAUACUAUGACAAAAAC
Molecule: long non-coding RNA, 1242 nt
Filed under: Pongo abelii (Sumatran orangutan)
Lineage: Eukaryota; Metazoa; Chordata; Mammalia; Primates; Hominidae
Description: lncRNA (ENSPPYG00000034534.1)
Source: RNAcentral